UACAAAACAAGAGUAUUUUAUAUAGCAUCUCGCUUCAGAUUCUAUCAUUAUCAAAGCUACAGGUUGACUUUAUAACGUAAAAAAAUGACAGUACGAAAAGAUGAAAUAUAUGGUUUUAUUGAGAUACCUAUCUAAUGAAUCACAAAAACAGAGUAGGUGUGUUCGAAUAGCUAUUUUUUCUAAAAGUACUUGACGACAGUCUUUUAAUUUGGAUGAUGAAAAUGUGUGUGUGAUAACUAGGGUUUAUAAUCUUCAAC
This 257-nucleotide long non-coding RNA is filed under the name Mytilus galloprovincialis (Mediterranean mussel). Lineage: Eukaryota; Metazoa; Mollusca; Bivalvia; Mytilida; Mytilidae. The record is from RNAcentral.